CAGGGAGGAGAUUGUCCCACUCUACUCUGCGCUGGUGUGGCCUCACCUCGAGUACUGUGUGAAGUUCUGGGCACCACACUACA
This is a long non-coding RNA of Oxyura jamaicensis (ruddy duck), 83 nucleotides long. RefSeq lists it as uncharacterized. Lineage: Eukaryota; Metazoa; Chordata; Aves; Anseriformes; Anatidae. The record is from RefSeq and is a predicted model, not a curated record. The transcript has 3 exons.